This 650-nucleotide long non-coding RNA is filed under the name Brassica rapa (field mustard). RNAcentral's name for it is "long non-coding RNA (BRAP_LNC008026)". The record is from RNAcentral. Lineage: Eukaryota; Viridiplantae; Streptophyta; Magnoliopsida; Brassicales; Brassicaceae.
GCAUUCAUAUAGCUAAUGCUUUAAGAUUGUGCAUUCAUGUAGUAAUGCAUUUAAAAAUGAGCCUAACUUGCAAAUGUACUGAUAUAAGCUUUGCAUUUAGAGAACUGUAUAGAACUUGCAUUGUCAUUGUUAGAAAUUAAAAUCUGCUUGUCUUGACUCAGUCCAGUUCUGAUUGUUGCUAUGCCAUAGUUAAAUCCAUCAGUGAUGUCUUAUAAGCAUUUAGAAGUAUGUCUAAGCUAUUUAAAUCAUUGGCCUUGAUAAAACUAGUGAGCAUAAGCAUGAAUUGUGUCACUCGUGUCGCCUUAAUUGCAGAAGUAUCAUCUAGACUUGUGUUCCAUGUUGGAUUGAAUCUGUUUCAUUCAUAUAGUUAGUGUAACCUAAUGCAUUCAUCUAUUGUUGCAUUUAAAAAAAAAACUGAAUUGAUUGUCUAGCUUGUUUCAAGAAUCAUAUAUUAUUGUGGCAUUGGUGAUCAAACAGGAUGGAUUAUCUUGGUUUGAUCCCAAUGGGAUGAUCUGAUCUUGCAUUGAGUUUUGGUGGUGUUAGGUACACAAGGGAAGUGAUACAUGUAACUCGCCAUCAACCAAGAAUGUAGAGACAAAGGUCUUGUGCCAUUGCAUAUCAUCACUAGGACAUGUUAGUCCAUAAUCUAC